This 135-nucleotide small nucleolar RNA is filed under the name Saimiri boliviensis boliviensis (Bolivian squirrel monkey). Its description in RNAcentral is "Small nucleolar RNA SNORA42/SNORA80 family (ENSSBOG00000010533.1)". It matches the Rfam family "Small nucleolar RNA SNORA42/SNORA80 family". From Rfam's summary of the family: The members of this family belong to the H/ACA class of snoRNAs that guide the sites of modification of uridines to pseudouridines. Human ACA42 (SNORA42) was cloned from HeLa cells by immunoprecipitation with anti-GAR1 antibody. Its is predicted to guide the pseudouridylation of residues U109 and U572 of 18S rRNA. The record is from Rfam by way of RNAcentral. Lineage: Eukaryota; Metazoa; Chordata; Mammalia; Primates; Cebidae.
GCAUGGGUUUGGAUUUAUGACAGGCCCGUCCCCCUGGGCCUGUCGUCGUAACCCAUGCCAGAGCAAACUGUGUCCCCAAACCAUUGCCUGGCCUCUGUGCCCAUAGGCUGCUGGCACUGAAGUGGUUGCACAGUG